RNAcentral lists this ribosomal RNA (87 nucleotides) under Rhodococcus sp. 06-621-2. RNAcentral also lists the same sequence under 4 other names. Lineage: Bacteria; Bacillati; Actinomycetota; Actinomycetes; Mycobacteriales; Nocardiaceae. The record is from RNAcentral.
GGUCCCAUUCCGAACCCGGAAGCUAAGCCCUCCAGCGCCGAUGGUACUGCACCCGACAGGGUGUGGGAGAGUAGGACACCGCCGAAC